RNAcentral lists this ribosomal RNA (497 nucleotides) under uncultured bacterium. RNAcentral describes it as "partial 16S ribosomal RNA". It matches the Rfam family "Bacterial small subunit ribosomal RNA", at positions 28 to 507 of the family's 1533-position model. The record is from RNAcentral.
GAUGAACGCUGGCGGCGUGCCUAAUACAUGCAAGUCGAGCGAACGGACGAGAAGCUUGCUUCUCUGAUGUUAGCGGCGGACGGGUGAGUAACACGUGGAUAACCUACCUAUAAGACUGGGAUAACUUCGGGAAACCGUAGCUAAUACCGGAUAAUAUUUUGAACCGCAUGGUUCAAAAGUGAAAGACGGUCUUGCUGUCACUUAUAGAUGGAUCUGCGCUGCAUUAGCUAGUUGGUAAGGUAAAGGCUUACCAAGGGAACGAUGCAUAGCCGACCUGCGAGGGUGGUCGGCCACACUGGAGCUGAGCCACGGUCCAGACUCCUACGGGAGGCAGCAGUAGGGAAUCUUCCGCAAUGGGCGAAAGCCUGACGGAGCAACGCGGCGUGAGAGAUGAAGGUCUUCGGAUCGUAAAACUCUGUUAUUAGGGAAGAACAUAUGUGUAAGUAACUGUGCACAGCUUGACGGUACCUAAUCAGAAAGCCACGGCUAACUACGUG